This 859-nucleotide long non-coding RNA is filed under the name Homo sapiens (human). Its description in RNAcentral is "non-protein coding lnc-MST1-1:8". The record is from RNAcentral. Lineage: Eukaryota; Metazoa; Chordata; Mammalia; Primates; Hominidae.
GGGCCAGAUAAGCCAGAGUCCCAGGGUCUUGUUCACGCCCCAUUACCGCCCCCAGGUUCCUCGACCAAGGUCUGGACGACAACUAUUGCCGGAAUCCUGACGGCUCCGAGCGGCCAUGGUGCUACACUACGGAUCCGCAGAUCGAGCGAGAGUUCUGUGACCUCCCCCGCUGCGGGUCCGAGGCACAGCCCCGCCAAGAGGCCACAACUGUCAGCUGCUUCCGCGGGAAGGGUGAGGGCUACCGGGGCACAGCCAAUACCACCACUGCGGGCGUACCUUGCCAGCGUUGGGACGCGCAAAUCCCGCAUCAGCACCGAUUUACGCCAGAAAAAUACGCGUGCAAGUGAGGUGGGGGGGGGGGGCGGGCGUUGGGACGUGCUGCUGCGGGUGAGACGGGAGGAAGGUAGUCACGGGCUCAAGGCUGGAGGCUGGCGGGCUAGGGCUGAGUGGAGCGCCUGCUUAGAGACCUUCGGGAGAACUUCUGCCGGAACCCCGACGGCUCAGAGGCGCCCUGGUGCUUCACACUGCGGCCCGGCAUGCGCGCGGCCUUUUGCUACCAGAUCCGGCGUUGUACAGACGACGUGCGGCCCCAGGACUGCUACCACGGCGCAGGGGAGCAGUACCGCGGCACGGUCAGCAAGACCCGCAAGGGUGUCCAGUGCCAGCGCUGGUCCGCUGAGACGCCGCACAAGCCGCAGUUCACGUUUACCUCCGAACCGCAUGCACAACUGGAGGAGAACUUCUGCCGGAACCCAGAUGGGGAUAGCCAUGGGCCCUGGUGCUACACGAUGGACCCAAGGACCCCAUUCGACUACUGUGCCCUGCGACGCUGCGCUGAUGACCAGCCGCCAUCAAUCCU